GACGAACGCUGGUGGCGUGCCUAAUACAUGCAAGUCGAGCGAGCGGAAUAACAGAUUUACUUCGGUAAUGACGUUGGGGAAGCGAGCGGCGGAUGGGUGAGUAACACGUGGGGAACCUGCCCCUAACUCUGGGAUACCAUUUGGAAUCAGGUGCUAAUACCGGAUAAUAAAGCAGAUCGCAUGAUCAGCUUUUGAAAGGCGGCGUAAGCUGACGCUAAGGGAUGGCCCCGCGGUGCAUUAGCUAGUUGGUAA
RNAcentral lists this ribosomal RNA (252 nucleotides) under uncultured bacterium. Its description in RNAcentral is "partial 16S ribosomal RNA". It matches the Rfam family "Bacterial small subunit ribosomal RNA", at positions 28 to 255 of the family's 1533-position model. The record is from RNAcentral.